CCUGCAGGAAAAAUACCCACCAAUGCGAUCAUUACCUAUCCCUAGCCUACGUAAGUUCUUGAGUACAUUAACAAAAUCAUUGUCAACUCCACCAAUCAGUAGAGAUGGGCAACAACUAACAAGCUUAAUAACCGUGCUUUUACUUAGACCCAACUUUUCAUAGGCUAGAAGUUUCGAAUCCAACAAACCAUAUUCAUAUAUGAAAAUCUCUCUUGCUUCCUUGUACAUCUUGCCAAUCUUAAUGCGAGGAAUCCCAUAAUUGCAUAAAACGUGGAAAUUCUCUGGCAAGAAAUGAUUAUAACUUACAAAAAAAAAGUGCCACGGAAGAAAUGAAGAAAGCUCAAAUGGGCACAGAAAAUCUUAAGCUUUGUGAGAAGUUUACAGGUGGUUCAAAUUAUUUUGGAAAGCAAUAGGCUGCCGAGUCUUGUGGUGCCCAGUGUGAUGUCUUAGUAGACAGGAUGUUCCAAAGCUUGUUGAAUACCUGAGAAGGCCUAUGGCUUUUAGAAGCUUGCAAGUCCUUAUUUAGAUGUCAAGUCUCUAUCAUUAUGUUCAAGUUGAUAAUUUGCUUUUGGCUCUUGCAUUGGGUCCUCCAACACUUGAUCAGAACUUCUUUCUUGAUACAACUCAUAAAAUGAGGCUUAAGGAGGAGUUCAAAAUCGAACCAUGGACUUUUGAGCAACAUGUUGGAGAAGCUGUCAUCAUUCCUGCUGGAUGCCCUUACCAAAUUAGGCAUCUUAAGUCAUGCGUUAAUGUGGUUUUGGACUUUGUCUCGCCGGAAAAUGUUACAGAAUGCAUCCAGUUGACUGAUGAACUCCGACUGCUUCCAGAGAACCAUAAAGCCAAAGUAGAUAGUCUAGAGGUAAAUUACACGCGACUGUUGCAUGCUCGUUUGCCAUGCUUGUCCACAUGAUGAAUAAGGCUUUACCGUUUUUGCAAAAAUCAGGUGAAGAAAAUGACCCUUUAUGGUAUUAGCAGAGCAAUCAAAGAAAUCCGUGAGCUUACUCAUGCAGAGUAAGUACCUCUACUGAAAUAUAAAAGUCAAUACUUUUUGUUUCUCUGUUUGGCUCCAGCAUUAGUUCUUACCAAAUAUUCAAGGGAUCAUGUUACUGCUGCUGUUUUGAAUUGACUCAAAGUUGGGGCAGACUAGUAUCAAGCAUGUGAAAAACUAAUCGUGUAUGAACAUUCUGAGAGUGACAAUAAGUAAUAUUUGCCCAGUAGAACACAUUGAAUAUCCUUUCUUAAUAAAACUGUAUCAAAAUUAUGAGCUGACAUUCUAGAAACAUCCAGAUCACGUAUGUCAUUGUUACCUAGGUUUCUAUGACAAGCUAGUUUGGCCUCUGUUCUUUAAUCGUUUCCCCAUUAUGAUAAUACGGCUUCAUUUGAGUAGAUGAGUAUUUGAAAUGGAUUUGAAUUUGAUAUUAUGUUUAUAUUAUAUGAUUUUUAACUCAAAACAGAGAUCCAAAUUCACCUUCAUUUCAAAUACACAUUAAAAUGGAUCAUUAGAUAAUAUGUAUGUUGUGUGAAUGUAAAUAUAUGCCGCCUUUCCUAGCAUGAAAUACUGUGUAGUUGUUUCCUUUGUAUAUUUUCAAGAAUUUUAUGCAACAAGAAUCAAUUUAUAAACCCGAUAUUGCAGGACCAGCGGUGAGCUCAAUGAUCGACAAUGAGGACUGAAGCGGAUCUGAUUUACUUGCAUCUGAGUCCCUCUCCUUACCUAUUUUAUUGUGCAGAGUAUUGUUCUCUGCAGAAUUUCGAUAGAUCUGUGAUAUCAGCAGUAACAAGAAGCUAAUUUCUUCAGAUUAGAUAAAAGAUUGGCAUUCAUUCUCCCUUUUCUAUUUUCUAUUACAACUUGUCUAGUCAAUCAAUUGGUUGUAUAUAAUAAAAAGAAGCCAGAUCACCAUUUGUUUAUAUUUAUUUUCCUUCGGUGCAACAUUUUUUUCAGCUACAGCAAAGUAAUUCUU
RNAcentral lists this unclassified non-coding RNA (1958 nucleotides) under Hevea brasiliensis (rubber tree). The record is from RNAcentral. Lineage: Eukaryota; Viridiplantae; Streptophyta; Magnoliopsida; Malpighiales; Euphorbiaceae.